Molecule: ribosomal RNA, 427 nt
Filed under: uncultured Acidobacterium sp.
Lineage: Bacteria; Pseudomonadati; Acidobacteriota; Terriglobia; Terriglobales; Acidobacteriaceae
Description: bacterial SSU rRNA
Rfam family: Bacterial small subunit ribosomal RNA
Source: RNAcentral
AACGCGAAGAACCUUACCUGGGCUCGAAAUGUAGUGGACCGGGGUAGAAAUAUCCCUUCCCCGCAAGGGGCCACUAUAUAGGUGCUGCAUGGCUGUCGUCAGCUCGUGUCGUGAGAUGUUGGGUUAAGUCCCGCAACGAGCGCAACCCUUAUCUCUAGUUGCCAUCAUUCAGUUGGGCACUCUAGCGAAACCGCCCCGGAUAACGGGGAGGAAGGUGGGGAUGACGUCAAGUCCUCAUGGCCUUUAUGUCCAGGGCUACACACGUGCUACAAUGGCCGGUACAAACCGCUGCAAACCCGCGAGGGGGAGCUAAUCGGAAAAAGCCGGCCUCAGUUCGGAUUGGAGUCUGCAACUCGACUCCAUGAAGCUGGAAUCGCUAGUAAUCGUGGAUCAGAACGCCACGGUGAAUACGUUCCCGGGCCUUGUA